This 432-nucleotide ribosomal RNA is filed under the name uncultured bacterium. Its description in RNAcentral is "partial 16S ribosomal RNA". It matches the Rfam family "Bacterial small subunit ribosomal RNA", at positions 29 to 506 of the family's 1533-position model. The record is from RNAcentral.
AACGAACGCUGGCGGCAUGCCUAACACAUGCAAGUCGAACGAGACCUUCGGGUCUAGUGGCGCACGGGUGCGUAACGCGUGGGAACCUGCCCUUAGGUUCGGAAUAACUCCCCGAAAGGGGUGCUAAUACCGGAUAAUGUCUUCGGACCAAAGAUUUAUCGCCUUUGGAUGGGCCCGCGUUGGAUUAGCUAGUUGGUAGGGUAAAAGCCUACCAAGGCGACGAUCCAUAGCUGGUCUGAGAGGAUGAUCAGCCACACUGGGACUGAGACACGGCCCAGACUCCUACGGGAGGCAGCAGUGGGGAAUAUUGGACAAUGGGCGAAAACCUGAUCCAGCAAUGCCGCGUGAGUGAUGAAGGCCUUAGGGUUGUAAAGCUCUUUUACCCGGGAUGAUAAUGACAGUACCGGGAGAAUAAGCUCCGGCUAACUCCGU